Molecule: unclassified non-coding RNA, 313 nt
Filed under: uncultured fungus
Lineage: Eukaryota; Fungi
Description: sequence contains ITS1
Rfam family: 5.8S ribosomal RNA (bases 1-104)
Source: RNAcentral
GAAAUGCGAUACAUAAUGUAAAUUGCAGAAAUCAGUGAAUCAUCAAAUCUUUGAACGCACAUUGCACCUGAAGUAUUCCUUCUGGUACAUUUGUCUGAGUGUCCUUCUUUAUUAUUCUAUCUUAUGAUUCUAUAUUAAUCAUUCGAUGUUGAUAUGCAUUUGUAAUGUAUAUUUAAAGUUAUAUAUGAUAAUAUCGUUUUGUUUUGUUGGUAAAUUAUUAUCUCUUUUUUUCAUAUCAGUAUAUUAUCAAUUAAGGAUUUUCAAUUAUUUCAAUAAAGACCUCAGAUCAAAUGGCAUUACCCGCUGAAUUUAA